CCCUUAGAUGUUCUGGGCCACACGCGCGUUACACUGAUGAAGCCAGCGAGUAUAUCGCCUUCACCGGAAGGUGCGGGUAAUCUUGUGAAACUUCAUCGUGCUGGGGAUAGACCAUUGCAAUUAUUGGUCUUGAACGAGGAAUUCCUAGUAAGCAUGAGUCAUCAACUCGUGCUGAUUACGUCCCUGCCCUUUGUACACACCGCCCGUCGCUACUACCGAUUGAAUGGUUUAGUGAGAUCUCGGGAUUGGAGACGUUGCGCCGCAAGGCACAUCGUCCUCGAGAACUUGAUCAAACUUGAUCAUUUAGAGGGAGUAAAAGUCGUAACA
RNAcentral lists this ribosomal RNA (327 nucleotides) under uncultured eukaryote. RNAcentral's name for it is "partial 18S ribosomal RNA". It matches the Rfam family "Eukaryotic small subunit ribosomal RNA", at positions 1470 to 1796 of the family's 1831-position model. The record is from RNAcentral.